RNAcentral lists this long non-coding RNA (459 nucleotides) under Camelus dromedarius (Arabian camel). RNAcentral's name for it is "lncRNA (ENSCDRG00005000013.1)". Lineage: Eukaryota; Metazoa; Chordata; Mammalia; Artiodactyla; Camelidae. The record is from RNAcentral.
CUCCGAGUCUCUCGCCUGGAUCUAGGUUGCUGUCACAACUGAGCUGUAACAGCGAGCUGUAACACAUUUUUCCGCAACACUUCAAUCAAGCAUGUAGACUUGUCUGGAAACGUCCUGAGAGCUUCACUCGGCAUCCUGCACCUAGGGACCCAGCUGCCUGGAAGCGAUGUCACCGCGCAGCACUCAGUUCUCUGUGCUCGGACACAAGCAGCUGCUGUGGGAAACACUUCCACUGACACUUCAGUGUUGUGACAGCUGGCAUCACCCCAGUUUCACCCCGUGCCAGGGCCCUCCAUAACGACAGGACUCGCCCACGCUGGCAUUUCAACUUCAGCUCCACUCAUCAGUAAGGUAAGGGCCUGGAAAGAAAGGACAACCAGUACUUACUGUAGCUCUCAAAGCAGGUUUGCUUGGACCAUCUGGCCUUCCUGAGGCCUACAGAAUUUAUACCAUGUUCUG